AUUAAUAAGCAUUAAGAAGAAUUCAAUAACUUGAAAGAUAAGCAAGCAUAAAAUUAAAAUAAAAAUACACCCUUUCUAUCCCUAAACAUCCAAAGCACAUUUUCUCAUUAAAGCAGUUAGAGAAAUUCAUGAAUGUGCUUUUCUAAUCUCAUAAUCAGAAGAUUGACAGAAGAUAUUAUAUUUUAAUUAGUAUCUCAAUUCUCAUAUCAACGGCAUCUACCCCAUUAC
RNAcentral lists this unclassified non-coding RNA (228 nucleotides) under Hevea brasiliensis (rubber tree). The record is from RNAcentral. Lineage: Eukaryota; Viridiplantae; Streptophyta; Magnoliopsida; Malpighiales; Euphorbiaceae.